RNAcentral lists this ribosomal RNA (232 nucleotides) under uncultured bacterium. RNAcentral's name for it is "partial 16S ribosomal RNA". It matches the Rfam family "Bacterial small subunit ribosomal RNA", at positions 104 to 334 of the family's 1533-position model. The record is from RNAcentral.
CGGGGUGAGUAACGCGUGGGUAACCUGCCUCAUACAGGGGGAUAACAGUUGGAAACGACUGCUAAUACCGCAUAAGCGCACAGGAUCGCAUGAUCCGGUGUGAAAAACUCCGGUGGUAUGAGAUGGAUCCGCGUCUGAUUAGCCAGUUGGCAGGGUAACGGCCUACCAAAGCGACGAUCAGUAGCCGACCUGAGAGGGUGACCGGCCACAUUGGGACUGAGACACGGCCCAA